CCGAGUUUACAACUCCCAAACCCCUGUGAACAUACCACUUGUUGCCUCGGCGAUCAGCCCGCUCCCGGUAAAACGGGACGGCCCGCCAGAGGACCCCUAAACUCUGUUUCUAUAUGUAACUUCUGAGUAAAACCAUAAAUAAAUCA
Molecule: unclassified non-coding RNA, 146 nt
Filed under: soil metagenome
Description: partial internal transcribed spacer 1
Source: RNAcentral